CUUGGCGACCAUAGCGUUUUGGACCCACCUGAUUCCAUCCCGAACUCAGAAGUGAAACGAAACAGCGUCGAUGGUAGUGUGGGGUAACUCUUCAAUUAAAAGUUUUUUGAAGC
RNAcentral lists this ribosomal RNA (113 nucleotides) under Vibrio cholerae O1 biovar El Tor. The record is from RNAcentral. Lineage: Bacteria; Pseudomonadati; Pseudomonadota; Gammaproteobacteria; Vibrionales; Vibrionaceae.